Long non-coding RNA from Ailuropoda melanoleuca (giant panda), 954 nucleotides. RefSeq lists it as uncharacterized. The record is from RefSeq and is a predicted model, not a curated record. NCBI's taxonomy places the organism in Eukaryota, Metazoa, Chordata, Mammalia, Carnivora, Ursidae. The transcript is spliced from 3 exons.
UUUUUUUUUCCUUUUGCACAGAAUGUCCGUGCUAACUGGAAAUAUAUUUAGCUCAAGGGGGAUUUGCGUGCCUUCCCCUAAGCACACACCGUGUCCCAGGCACUGUUCCAUGUGUGCCGUACAUACGGACUCAUUUCAUCGUUACCACGAACCUACAAGACAAGGCCAAUACUGCUGUCAUCCCUGCUCACAGAUGUGGAACCAGACCCAGGAAAGUGGGGGAGGAGAAAAGAAUAUCACUUCCUGAAUUUAACUGAAGCAUUCCAUUCAAUCACCUCUUCAUGUUGCCCAGAAGUCUCAAGGCCUGAAAAAGAAAUCAUUCGGAAUUGAGUCUGUGGCGUAGAGUUCAAUUUAACUCCACCCAUAAGCAAAGUACUCUGCAAAGUGCUUUGAAAAAAAAAGAAAGGGAACGUGGCGUUGGUCUGUGUCUCGGUGUUUUGCUUUUCCACCUUCUGUGUUUCUAUUACAUAACUCCAGCCCCAUUCAGAGCAAGGAUAAUGCUUCACAAUAGGCCUGGCGCCGUGACCAGCAGCACAUCUGCUGAGCGCUGGUGGCUGUUGACAAAUGCCACAGCUCCACUUGCACAUUUAAUGAUCCACAAAACCUUCGAUUGCUUCCUCUGCUCUGCCCAUGUGACCAUUAUGUAUGGGAAACAAGUUCCAGCAGGGGUUUGGAGGAGAGGAUUCUAUUUCUGUCUUAGACAGAAAGUUCAUUCUGCUUCCCCGGCAAACUUACUUACCUUCAAUUGUCCUUAUCAACAUGACGCUAAAAAGUUGCAGAAGUUGGUGCUUUUGCAAACAUUUCAAAAAUAAUAAUAAUAAGGUACUCCAGAGAUGCUAGGUAUUUAACUAUGAAGGAGGGUUAGUCCAGCUGAUUUGUUUAACCGGCACAUGUGUGUGAGGCCAUGUGAAGAUGGCUGAUCCCCGCCACCCCCAAGGAAUGUCCAGUCUAGUU